UGGAUAGAUUAUUGUAUUCGACUGUAUUCACGGCGUGAAACAUGGGAUUACACUGUUUUUAAACGGAAAGUGAAUCAAUUAACAUAAUAGACUCCU
Molecule: microRNA precursor, 96 nt
Organism: Nicotiana attenuata
Lineage: Eukaryota; Viridiplantae; Streptophyta; Magnoliopsida; Solanales; Solanaceae
Rfam family: MIR6152 microRNA precursor family
Source: Rfam